GAUGAACGCUGGCGGCGUGCCUAAUACAUGCAAGUCGAGCGAACAGACGAGGAUCUUGCUCCUCUGACGUUAGCGGCGGACGGGUGAGUAACACGUGGAUAACCUACCUAUAAGACUGGCAUAACUUCGGGAAACCUGAGCUAAUACCGGAUAAUAUAUUGAACCGCAUGGUUCAAUAGUGAAAGACGGUUUUGCUGUCACUUAUAGAUGGAUCCUCGCCGCAUUAGCUAGUUGGUAAGGUAACGGCUUACCAAGGCAACGAUGCGUAGCCGACCUGAGAGGGUGAUCGGCCACACUGGAACUGAGACACGGUCCAGACUCCUACGGGAGGCAGCAGUAGGGAAUCUUCCGCAAUGGGCGAAAGCCUGACGGAGCAACGCCGCGUGAGUGAUGAAGGUCUUCGGAUCGUAAAACUCUGUUAUUAGGGAAGAACAAAUGUGUAAGUAACUAUGCACGUCUUGACGGUACCUAAUCAGAAAGCCACGGCUAACUACGUG
This 497-nucleotide ribosomal RNA is filed under the name uncultured bacterium. RNAcentral's name for it is "partial 16S ribosomal RNA". It matches the Rfam family "Bacterial small subunit ribosomal RNA", at positions 28 to 507 of the family's 1533-position model. The record is from RNAcentral.